UACGAAGGGGGCUAGCGUUGUUCGGAUUUACUGGGCGUAAAGCGCACGUAGGCGGAUCGUUAAGUCGGGGGUGAAAUCCUGGGGCUCAACCCCAGAACUGCCUUCGAUACUGGCGAUCUCGAGUCCGGAAGAGGUGAGUGGAACUCCUAGUGUAGAGGUGGAAUUCGUAGAUAUUAGGAAGAACACCAGUGGCGAAGGCGGCUCACUGGUCCGGUACUGACGCUGAGGUGCGAAAAGCGUGGGGAGCAAACAGG
Molecule: ribosomal RNA, 254 nt
Filed under: uncultured bacterium
Lineage: Bacteria
Description: partial 16S ribosomal RNA
Rfam family: Bacterial small subunit ribosomal RNA
Source: RNAcentral